CUUCUGCCCGUGCCUGGCCCCGCCGGGUCGCUCCCGAGCUCCGCGUUUCGUUCGCCGACCCCUGGAAGACUGCCUGGAGGCCCGGGCGCCACCCAACCACUGGCUAGGCCGACACUUUGCGCGGACCCUGGGUGUAAAAGGUCCCCGGGUCUCUGGUCCCGACGGAGCUGUGAGGGAGAUCAACCACGCCCCCUCCGUGGGCACCGUGGCGGCAGGGAAGGAAAAGGGCUCUGGGUCUCGACUCUCUUCGGGUUAAGAACCGACGGGGUUUAUUCUAUGCAAGGUGUUAUUAACUCCAACUCUCCCUUUCGUUCAUUCAUUCCAUAUAUGUUGAACGACAACUUAGUGCCAAAUGCCGGCAUGCUGAAACUCAGAGAGGGAAGAUGUCUUGCAAGUACAGCAGCCACACCCAGGCAGGUCCCGUGCUCUCUCUUAGUUUAUCAGUGUUCCCUGACAUGUAGUGGUGACAUUGUUAAACACCUGCGUUUACUAAUACUAGAUUUUUUUUUUUUUUUUUUUUGAGAUAGAGUUUCGCUCUUGUUCCCUGGGCUGCAGUGCAGUGGCACCAUCUCGGCUCACCGCAACCUCCGCCUCCCAAGUUCAAGCGAUUCUCCUGCCUCAGCCUCCCCAGUAUCUGGGAUUACAGGUAUGCGCCACCACGCCCGGCUAAUUUUGUAUUUUUAGUAGAGACGGGGUUUCUCCAUGUUGGUCAGGCUGGUCUUGAACUCCCGACCUCAGGUGAUUCUCCCGCCUCGGCCUCCCAAAGUACUGGGAUUACAGGCGUGAGCCACUGCGCCUGGCCUACUAAUACUAGGUUUUAUUCCGGGCCCUUCACAGUUAAUGUUGGAGGCCUCUGGAGGAUGGCCACACCUGGGCUAUUUGCAGAAGCCUGGACAGCACAGCAGGCAGAGUUAAAGCAGUUAAGGCAGUAUCAGCUGAAGGGCCACCCAGCUGUGCGUGUGCCCAGGCUCCAAGAAUAAGGAGGUUGGGGGGCAGUCCUAAGAAAGGAAGUCAUUACCUAUCGGCAACCCAGGAGCAGACGCUGGCAUAACGGCGCACACACAGUAAAGGUCAGAGGUUCUUCUUAGAAUAGUCCUUAGGUGUUAGUCAAACCCAUGCCCUGCCCCAAGGAGUUCAUUCAUUCAUUCACUCAUUCAUUCACUCACUCACUCACUGGUUCUGUUUAUUCACUCAUUUCUCUAUCACAUAUCCAUUUAUUGUCAUUCACCCACUUAUUUACUCAUACAUUCAUUCAUUUGCUCAUCAAUUUAUUUGGUACCUACAUGGAGCCAGGUACAGGUCUUGAUUAAAGAGAUCUGGGGAGGAGUGCUCCCAAGAAGUUCAGAGCCUCACUGGUGAAGGAAAGCCAUGUAAAGACAGAUCUUGAGAACCCAAGAUCAUCAAGGAGUAUCCAUGAUCAAGCAGAGCAGGGAAGGCUUUUUGCUUUGUUUUGUUUUGUUUUUAACAUGCUGUGUGGUUCAGUAAAAUUAAAACAGGCACAAUGAUAUCCUGGAUGACAAGAGCUGGAGGCUGUCAUUCUAACAAUGUAGUGAGACUGGCUGUCUUGUCUCAUGCCCACCCCUGGAAACAUGCGCAGGAACUCAAAGCACCUAGCACAGAGGAAGUGUCUGGUGAGUCUUUUUAUUUCUCGAGGCAGUGGCUGCAUGGGGAAGUGCUUGAGCCCUGGCACCCAAAUCGCUUGGGUUUGGAUCUCUGCCACUGCCUGGUUCUUUGGCUUUGGAGAAGAUAUUCAGCCUCUUGGUCACUCAGUUUAUUCCCAUCUGAAAAAUGGGAAUAAUGAUAGUACUUACCUCAUUGGUUUGGUGUCAGGAUUUUUUUUUUUUUUCGAGAUAGAGUCUCGCUCUGUCGCCCAGGCUGGAGUGCAGUGGUGCAGUUUUGGCUCACUGCAACCUCCACCUCCCGGGUUCAAGUGAUUCUCCUGCCUCAGCCUCCUGAGUAGCUGGGACUACAGGCGUAUGCCACCACGCCUGGCUAAUUUUUGUAUUUUUAGUAGAGACAGGGUUUCACCAUGUUGGUUAGGCUGGUCUUGAACUCAUGACCUCAAGCAAUCCACCUGCCUCAGCCUCCCAAAGUGCUGGGAUUACAGAUGUGAGCCACCACACCCGGCCUGGUGUCAGGAUUAAAUGAACCCUUAGCACAAUACCUGGCACAGAGGAAGAACUUAAUA
RNAcentral lists this long non-coding RNA (2188 nucleotides) under Homo sapiens (human). RNAcentral describes it as "non-protein coding lnc-DUSP1-4:11". Lineage: Eukaryota; Metazoa; Chordata; Mammalia; Primates; Hominidae. The record is from RNAcentral.